This is a long non-coding RNA of Rhinichthys klamathensis goyatoka, 317 nucleotides long. RefSeq lists it as uncharacterized. The transcript is spliced from 3 exons. NCBI's taxonomy places the organism in Eukaryota, Metazoa, Chordata, Actinopteri, Cypriniformes, Leuciscidae. The record is from RefSeq and is a predicted model, not a curated record.
UUUUCUGCAUUUCACCUCUGCCUAGCUUGGUUCCUUGUAAUAAACCCUAUGUUCUAUUGUAAAUCCUAUUUAACAUUGUUGGCUCUGUGACAAAUUGCAUGUUCUGUUCCUAGAUCAUCAUGUUGAUGGCCUGCUGCACCCCCUGUCCAAGACAAUCUCCACGGCUAUGAACCAUAUGAUUAGUCUGUCUUGAAUUAUGUUGGCCAAUGAGACAGACACCAUACUGUCCAACUCAAAGAUGAGGUAUAAUCCCUAGCGUUUGGGCCUGUGAUUCUUCAGGACAAGAUCUUGAUGCCAUCCACACUCAGUACAUGAAG